This is a non-coding RNA of Equus caballus (horse), 280 nucleotides long. The record is from RefSeq and is a predicted model, not a curated record. NCBI's taxonomy places the organism in Eukaryota, Metazoa, Chordata, Mammalia, Perissodactyla, Equidae.
UGACAUGCAGCACUGGGAGUCUAUCAGUGAACAAGCUACGUAUUGUCUCUGCCUUCAUGGAGAUUCCCACCUAUUAUGGGAGACAUACAUCUAAAAAAUAUCAUGGAACUGGCCAAGUUAAUGGAUACCUUGAAUGAUUGCAUCAAGUACAAAGGAUUGGGACAAGUGGACUGAGAUGAAAUUUGACGGAAAUAAAGUGAGAAGUAUGUAGACUUUCGUAAGCUGCUCGUCUUCAUGGGGUUUUGAGAAGGGAAGAUGCCUCUGGUAAUUUCUAAAAUGU